UGUGGAAGCUGGGAUUCCAAUGGCAGGCAGGAAAUCUUGUAGUAGGUGAUCGUGGCCUUCCUUGGGAUCCCUGUUUCCCCCUUUUAUUCCCUUUUCACCCAGUAAAACCCUGCUUUGCUCACUCUUUAAAGCAUCUGUGAGCGUAAAUUUUUGUGGCCAUGGGAUGGACAAGAACCACAUGUUUACCUGAAGUCCUGUGACAUUUUGGUGUGCAGCAUGGGAGCUCCAAAAGUGACAUUCUUUCAGAUGCCAGAGGAUGCUAUAGAAAAAUGCGUGCCCUCUUGUAAUACUUUGUUCAAGUUCUGAUCAGAAGGAUGAAUGAUGGAGCCCAAGAAGCCAGAGUCUCAUUGUGUUGCUCAGGCUGGAAUCCAGUGGCAUGAUCUCGGCUCAGUGCAACCUCCGCCUCCUGGGUUCAAGCAGUUCUCCUAGAUCAGCAUCAGCGUCCCGAGUAGCUGGGAUUACAGGCACCCGCCACCAUGCCUGGCUAAUGUUGGUCAGGCUGGCUCGAACUCCUGACCUCAAGAGAUCCACCUGCUUUGGCCUCCCAAAGUGCUCGGAUUACAGGCAUGAGCUGCCACACCCAGCCUCCAAAUACUUUUUUUUUAAAUCAAAAUAAUGAUUUCAAUGACUGAGAUCUGUUAUGUAUUUCAACAUAAUCAUGUUUCAUAAAGAUUUAGUCUUCUGAAA
This 687-nucleotide long non-coding RNA is filed under the name Homo sapiens (human). RNAcentral's name for it is "HSALNT0337473". Lineage: Eukaryota; Metazoa; Chordata; Mammalia; Primates; Hominidae. The record is from RNAcentral.